CAGCCGCCGCGGGAAUACGAAGGGUGCAAGCGUUAAUCGGAAUUACUGGGCGUAAAGCGUGCGUAGGCGGUUUGUUAAGUCUGUUGUGAUAUCCCCGGGCUCAACCUGGGAAUGGCAAUGGAUACUGGCAAGCUAGAGUGUGUCAGAGGAUGGUGGAAUUCCCGGUGUAGCGGUGAAAUGCGUAGAGAUCGGGAGGAACAUCAGUGGCGAAGGCGGCCAUCUGGGACAACACUGACGCUGAGGCACGAAAGCGUGGGGAGCAAACAGGAUUAGAUACCCGCGUAGUCCCUGUCUCUUAUAC
RNAcentral lists this ribosomal RNA (301 nucleotides) under uncultured bacterium. RNAcentral's name for it is "partial 16S ribosomal RNA". It matches the Rfam family "Bacterial small subunit ribosomal RNA", at positions 509 to 807 of the family's 1533-position model. The record is from RNAcentral.